This 403-nucleotide ribosomal RNA is filed under the name bacterium. RNAcentral describes it as "partial 16S ribosomal RNA". It matches the Rfam family "Bacterial small subunit ribosomal RNA", at positions 355 to 776 of the family's 1533-position model. The record is from RNAcentral.
UGGGGAAUAUUGCACAAUGGAGGGAACUCUGAUGCAGCGACGCCGCGUGAACGAAGAAGGCUUUCGAGUCGUAAAGUUCUUUUAUAUGGGAAGAUAAUGACGGUACCAUAAGAAAAAGCCCCGGCUAACUACGUGCCAGCAGCCGCGGUAAUACGUAGGGGGCUAGCGUUGUCCGGAAUCACUGGGCUUAAAGGGUUCGCAGGCGGAAAUGCAAGUCAGGUGUAAAAGGCAGUAGCUUAACUACUGUAAGCAUUUGAAACUGCAUAUCUUGAGAAGAGUAGAGGUAAGUGGAAUUUUUAGUGUAGCGGUGAAAUGCGUAGAUAUUAAAAAGAAUACCGGUGGCGAAGGCGACUUACUGGGCUCAUUCUGACGCUGAGGAACGAAAGCGUGGGUAGCAAACAGG